Molecule: unclassified non-coding RNA, 259 nt
Filed under: Hevea brasiliensis (rubber tree)
Lineage: Eukaryota; Viridiplantae; Streptophyta; Magnoliopsida; Malpighiales; Euphorbiaceae
Source: RNAcentral
CUUAGGAACUCACUUGAUCAGGUAUGUGGUUCAUGGCUUCAGAUUCUGAAGUGUGUCUAUUAUUGGAUAGCACCUGUCCAGCAAAUUUUCAGUUAUUACAUGGGCGUUCCAAAUUGAACCAAAGUACUGUAUUAUACCGUUUGGGAACUGAAAAGGAACUAUUACUGUAAAAACUAAAGAGAACUCAUAUUUACUGUUUUGGUUCGGUUAUGUUUCUUCAUCAAAAACCGAACUAGAACUACACUAGAACAAUCUUGAG